UUGGAGGGCAAGUCUGGUGCCAGCAGCCGCGGUAAUUCCAGCUCCAAUAGCGUAUAUUAAAGUUGUUGCAGUUAAAAAGCUCGUAGUUGAACCUUGGGCCUGGCUGGCCGGUCCGCCUCACCGCGUGUACUGGUCCGGCCGGGCCUUUCCUUCUGGGGAGCCGCAUGCCCUUCACUGGGCGUGUCGGGGAACCAGGACUUUUACUGUGAAAAAAUUAGAGUGCUCCAGGCAGGCCUAUGCUCGAAUAGAUUAGCAUGGAAUAAUGGAAUAGGACGUGUGGCCUUAUUUCGUUGGUUUCUAGGACCGCCGUAAUGAUUAAUAGGGACAGUCGGGGGCAUCAGCAUUCAAUCGUCAGAGGUGAAAUUCUUGGAUCGAUUGAAGACUAACUACUGCGAAAGCAUUUGCCAAGGAUGUUUUCAUUUAUCAGGAACGAAAGUUAGGGGAUCGAAGACGAUCAGAUACCGUCGUAGUCUUAACCAUAAACUAUGCCGACUAGGGAUCGGACGGUGUUAUUUCUUGACCCGUUCGGCGCCUUACGGGAAAC
This 544-nucleotide ribosomal RNA is filed under the name uncultured Ascomycota. Its description in RNAcentral is "SSU rRNA". It matches the Rfam family "Eukaryotic small subunit ribosomal RNA", at positions 548 to 1098 of the family's 1831-position model. The record is from RNAcentral. Lineage: Eukaryota; Fungi; Ascomycota.